GACGAACGCUGCGGCGUGCUUCACCCAUGCAAGUCGAACGGAAAGGCCCUGCUUUUGUGGGGUGCUCGAGUGGCGAACGGGUGAGUAACACGUGAGUAACCUGCCCUUGACUUUGGGAUAACUUCAGGAAACUGGGGCUAAUACCGGAUAGGAGCUCCUGCUGCAUGGUGGGGGUUGGAAAGUUUCGGCGGUUGGGGAUGGACUCGCGGCUUAUCAGCUUGUUGGUGGGGUAGUGGCUUACCAAGGCUUUGACGGGUAGCCGGCCUGAGAGGGUGACCGGCCACAUUGGGACUGAGAUACGGCCCAGACUCCUACGGGAGGCAGCAGUGGGGAAUAUUGCACAAUGGGCGGAAGCCUGAUGCAGCAACGCCGCGUGCGGGAUGACGGCCUUCGGGUUGUAAACCGCUUUCGCCUGUGACGAAGCGUGAGUGACGGUAAUGGGUAAAGAAGCACCGGCUAACUACGUG
Molecule: ribosomal RNA, 467 nt
Filed under: uncultured bacterium
Lineage: Bacteria
Description: partial 16S ribosomal RNA
Rfam family: Bacterial small subunit ribosomal RNA
Source: RNAcentral